This 68-nucleotide transfer RNA is filed under the name unidentified. RNAcentral's name for it is "Idiocerus herrichii tRNA-Trp". The record is from RNAcentral.
AAGAUUUUAAGUUAAAAUAAACUAUUAGCCUUCAAAGUUAAAAAUAUAUACAUCUAAGAUAAAUCUUA